UGACCCCUGUGGUCCCUCCCAGCCUGACCCAUUCUGGGAUUCUCUGUGGCACCUACACUCACGUGGCAGCAUUUCCCCUCUUGUCCAGAAAACCAUUUGAGAUGUUCAGAAUUGUAACUGUCUCAUACACUGGUGAGUGUGAGAGCAGGAAUCCCAGCCUGAGGGAUGUUUUGGACUAAAAGGAUGGAAUUACCUUGGAUGAUGAGAACCAGAAAGAAGAGCUCUCAGAAUUGUGUCUCUGGACAAUGUGCUGCUUCAGUCAUGUCUGUGUUAAGGCAAAUGAGGAAGUGGAGUAGCCUGCCCAGCCUCUUCAGAGAAACAGGAACUUGUGCUAGAGCUGCUCUCUGUGGGUGAAAUAAUCUGGACCUGCUGCACCUGAAGUCCACAGGCUGUUAUGUGAGUGGACUGGCAUUAUCUCU
Molecule: non-coding RNA, 419 nt
Organism: Agelaius phoeniceus (red-winged blackbird)
Lineage: Eukaryota; Metazoa; Chordata; Aves; Passeriformes; Icteridae
Source: RefSeq, a predicted model, not a curated record